UACAUUACCAGAUGUGGAUAAUUUGGUAAAUACCAGACGUUACAUGAAUAGCACACCACACGUAUUGAGGGAGGAGCAUCCAGCUAUUUUUUGACAAUACAAAUAAUAAUAAAAAAAUGAAAUAUUGAAAUAAAAUAACAGAAGAUAGACCGACCAAGGAAUUUAUCAUGAUAAGCAAUUCAAUACCACCGCUUAAAUCAUUCUGGAAAACUGAUCGGGUCAAGUCAAAAGACAAUAUGGGCCAAGGCCUAUUUCUUUGCAUUUUUUAUUAUUAUUUAGAGGCCCAGGCCCAUCAUCUCCUUCAUCAUCAUCCCUUUGUGGAGGUGGCAAUGCAUUCUUGCUUCAAAGUGUUUUUCUGUAUAUUACUGAUAAAUGCAUGCUUGCUGCAAAAUCCAUGGCUGAAAGAAUCCCUUUGGUCGUUUCUUCAAAGCCAACACUUUAAGCUCAUCCCCGUUUCUAUGUAAUAAACCCUUUUACCUCUCCUCUGUUUCUUCACACCCACAAUCUCCUCUUCUCUGGCUUCUAUCUUGAGCUCGAUGGCUAUGGAUUCCACAUCUUCACUCACCAAAAUCCCUGUUUUAGCCCUUUCUAUAUCUGUCCUCCUCUGUCUUGCUCCUGCCCAUGAUUUUUCCAUCGCCGGGUACUCAGCCCGGGCAUUUGGCUUCCACUGAUAAGCUCUUGGAUCAAUCAGAUCGUGACGGGGAAUCUGACUGAGUUGUCUGAUCAAGAACUGGUGGACUGUGACAGAACAUUUAACAAUGGCUGCAGUGGAGUUCUCAUGGACUAUGCGUUCGAAUUACAUAAUCUCCAGCGGUGGUAGCCUCCACAGAGAAGACGAUUACCCUUAUCUCAUGGAAGAAGGACGACAAGAAGAUUCAGAUGUUCCAAAAGAAGCACGAGGAAAGAUGUUCUUGAACGUCUUUACACUUCUUCUGUUCAUGUCAUACACUUCAUUCAAAGGACAUCAGAUGUAUUGAUGGAUGAAAUGCCACAUUUCAAUUAUAUGGUCAAAGUAAUCUCA
Molecule: long non-coding RNA, 1021 nt
Organism: Tarenaya hassleriana
Lineage: Eukaryota; Viridiplantae; Streptophyta; Magnoliopsida; Brassicales; Cleomaceae
Exons: 2
Source: RefSeq, a predicted model, not a curated record